UGGGGAAUUUUGGACAAUGGGCGCAAGCCUGAUCCAGCCAUGCCGCGUGAGUGAAGAAGGCCUUCGGGUUGUAAAGCUCUUUCGGCGGGGACGAAACGGUUCGUGACAACACCACGGACUAAUGACGGUACCCGCAUAAGAAGCACCGGCUAACUACGUGCCAGCAGCCGCGGUAAUACGUAGGGUGCGAGCGUUAAUCGGAAUUACUGGGCGUAAAGCGUGCGCAGGCGGCGACAUAAGACAGAUGUGAAAUCCCCGGGCUCAACCUGGGAACUGCGUUUGUGACUGUGUUGCUAGAGUGUAGCAGAGGGGGGUGAAUUCCACGUGUAGCAGUGAAAUGCGUAGAGAUGUGGAGGAACACCGAUGGCGAAGGCAGCCCCCUGGGUUAACACUGACGCUCAUGCACGAAAGCGUGGGGAGCAAACAGGAUUAGAUACCCAAGUAGUCCCUGAGCGGGCUGGCAAGGCGCAU
RNAcentral lists this ribosomal RNA (471 nucleotides) under uncultured bacterium. RNAcentral describes it as "bacterial SSU rRNA". It matches the Rfam family "Bacterial small subunit ribosomal RNA", at positions 355 to 825 of the family's 1533-position model. The record is from RNAcentral.